UGCGGUCUGCGCUUCCCGACAGGAAUCUAAUUCCCCGGGGCCUUAUCGAUCCUUAAGGGAGCUGUCCCUGGUCUCGCCCGUGGGCUUGGCUACACGGCGCCCACCUACUUUGUAGGUUCCCGGGAUCGUGUAUUCCAUCGGUCGCCGUGGAUCGCCA
Molecule: non-coding RNA, 157 nt
Organism: Nitratireductor aquibiodomus RA22
Lineage: Bacteria; Pseudomonadati; Pseudomonadota; Alphaproteobacteria; Hyphomicrobiales; Phyllobacteriaceae
Source: Rfam